RNAcentral lists this ribosomal RNA (285 nucleotides) under uncultured bacterium. RNAcentral describes it as "partial 16S ribosomal RNA". It matches the Rfam family "Bacterial small subunit ribosomal RNA", at positions 28 to 312 of the family's 1533-position model. The record is from RNAcentral.
GAUGAACGCUAGCGGCAGGCCUAAUACAUGCAAGUCGAGGGGCAGCGGGAGUAGCAAUACUUGCCGGCGACCGGCGCACGGGUGCGUAACACGUAUACAAUCUACCUUUAACAGGGGGAUAGCCCGGGGAAAUCCGGAUUAAUACCCCAUAACAAAUUGAAUGGCAUCAUUUGAUUUUGAAAGCUUCGGUGGUUAGAGAUGAGUAUGCGCCUGAUUAGUUAGUUGGUGAGGAACGGCUCACCAAGACUACGAUCAGUAGGGGAUCUGAGAGGAUUAACCCCCACA